This 392-nucleotide ribosomal RNA is filed under the name uncultured bacterium. Its description in RNAcentral is "partial 16S ribosomal RNA". It matches the Rfam family "Bacterial small subunit ribosomal RNA", at positions 523 to 918 of the family's 1533-position model. The record is from RNAcentral.
AUACGGAGGAUCCGAGCGUUAUCCGGAUUUAUUGGGUUUAAAGGGUGCGCAGGCGGCCAUUUAAGUCAGCGGUUAAAUCGUGGGGCUCAACCCCAUUCUGCCGUUGAUACUGGGUGGCUUGAUUGCGGUCGAGGUUGGCGGAAUUCGUUGUGUAGCGGUGAAAUGCAUAGAUAUGACGAAGAACCCCGAUUGCGUAGGCAGCAGCCCUACCCUAGAAAGUCCCUCAUGCACUAAAGUGCGGUGAUCGAACAGGAUUAAAUGCCCUUGUAGGGUUAAGAGUAAACUAUGAAUACCUGUUUUCACCGAUAUAAUAUCCGAGCUUUACCGCAAGUAAUAACGAUCCCCGCUGGGAAGUUCGCCAGUAACGCUGAAGCUGACACAAAUUGGCGGGG